GAUGAACGCUAGCGGCAGGCUUAACACAUGCAAGUCGAGGGGUAUAGUAGCAAUACUAGAGACCGGCGCACGGGUGCGUAACGCGUAUGCAAUCUACCUUUCACAGAGGGUUAGCCCAGAGAAAUUUGGAUUAAUACCUCAUAGUUUAGUAUCUUGGCAUCAAGGUACUAGUAAAGUCACAACGGUGUAAAAUGAGCAUGCGUCCCAUGUGUUAGUUGGUAAGGGAACGGCUUACCAGGACUACGAUGGGUAGGGGUCCUGAGAGGGAGAUCCCCCACACUGGUACUGAGACACGGACCAGACUCCUACGGGAGGCAGCAGUGAGGAAUAUUGGACAAUGGGCGCAAGCCUGAUCCAGCCAUGCCGCGUGCAGGAUGACGGUCCUAUGGAUUGUGAACUGCUUUUGUACAGGAAGAAACACCCCGACGUGUCGGGACUUGACGGUACUGUAAGAAUAAGGAUCGGCUAACUCCGUGCCAGCCGCCGCAGUAA
This 492-nucleotide ribosomal RNA is filed under the name uncultured bacterium. RNAcentral describes it as "partial 16S ribosomal RNA". It matches the Rfam family "Bacterial small subunit ribosomal RNA", at positions 28 to 523 of the family's 1533-position model. The record is from RNAcentral.